RNAcentral lists this unclassified non-coding RNA (224 nucleotides) under Ascomycota sp. RNAcentral describes it as "partial contains small subunit ribosomal RNA, internal transcribed spacer 1, and 5.8S ribosomal RNA". Lineage: Eukaryota; Fungi; Ascomycota. The record is from RNAcentral.
AAAGUCGUAACAAGGUCUCCGUUGGUGAACCUGCGGAAGGAUCAUUCAUAAUAAGUGUUUUAUAUGGCACUUUUUAAAUCCAUAUCCACCUUGUGUGCAAUGUCAGUCGAUCUUCUUCAUGGAGAUCGGCCAAACAUCAACCUUAUCUUUUAACUCUUUGUCUGAAAAAUAUUAUGAAUAAACAAUUCAAAAUACAACUUUCAACAACGGAUCUCUUGGCUCUC